UUUUUUUCAAAAAAUAACGGUUUAUUCGUCUUCGAUGAUGGUCGGCGCCCAAGUCACUUCCGUGUGAGAGUCCUGGCCUACAGAAGGACCGCCUGCAGUCUAGGCCAAGUCAUCCAUGAGGUCCUCACACGACAGCUUCUGUGCAAAGUCUGCGGUGAUGUUGAUGAGCGCCAUGGAGGACCUCAGGUGUGUCCUGAUGAACAGACCGAGGGCUGCUGCAGUCCAUAGGUGACCCCUGGAUUUGGACUUCAAUGCAGAUGUGGACCUGUGAUGUCAUUUCCUCCUCGGCCUCAGACGCCCCACCACCUUCUGCCAGAUGUGACAUUUAUGAGAACAAAAGACUUGAAGUUGGUGUUCAGUGUCAAACCCACAACUGAGACCUUAGAUGGACCAAGAUGGUCCUAACAUUUUUAAUUUGUAAUUUUCAUUUGCAGCAUCUUUUUUGAUUUUGAACAUUAAAUGGGGUUCACAUGGAAGUCCCCAGUUAUUUA
This is a long non-coding RNA of Polypterus senegalus (gray bichir), 491 nucleotides long. RefSeq lists it as uncharacterized. NCBI's taxonomy places the organism in Eukaryota, Metazoa, Chordata, Cladistia, Polypteriformes, Polypteridae. The transcript has 3 exons. The record is from RefSeq and is a predicted model, not a curated record.